GACGAGGAGAGCUCGGUCUGGUAGAGCGAUAAACUGUGACUUUAUAGGUCAUGGGUUCGAGUCCCAUUCCUCGUC
Molecule: transfer RNA, 75 nt
Filed under: Porphyra purpurea
Lineage: Eukaryota; Rhodophyta; Bangiophyceae; Bangiales; Bangiaceae
Description: tRNA-His
Rfam family: tRNA
About the family: Transfer RNA (tRNA) molecules are approximately 80 nucleotides in length. Their secondary structure includes four short double-helical elements and three loops (D, anti-codon, and T loops). Further hydrogen bonds mediate the characteristic L-shaped molecular structure. tRNAs have two regions of fundamental functional importance: the anti-codon, which is responsible for specific mRNA codon recognition, and the 3' end, to which the tRNAs corresponding amino acid is attached (by aminoacyl-tRNA synthetases). tRNAs cope with the degeneracy of the genetic code in two manners: having more than one tRNA (with a specific anti-codon) for a particular amino acid; and 'wobble' base-pairing, i.e. permitting non-standard base-pairing at the 3rd anti-codon position.
Source: RNAcentral